This 392-nucleotide unclassified non-coding RNA is filed under the name soil metagenome. RNAcentral's name for it is "partial contains 5.8S ribosomal RNA, internal transcribed spacer 2, and large subunit ribosomal RNA". The stretch from base 1 to 120 matches the Rfam family "5.8S ribosomal RNA", at positions 35 to 154 of the family's 154-position model. The record is from RNAcentral.
GAUGAAGAACGUAGCGAAAUGCGAUAAGUAAUGUGAAUUGCAGAAUUCAGUGAAUCAUCGAAUCUUUGAACGCAUCUUGCGCUCCUUGGUAUUCCGAGGAGCAUGCCUGUUUGAGUGUCAUUUAACUUCUCAACCACAUUGGAUAUUUUUUUUCCGAUGCCGGCUUGGAUGUGGGGGUUGUUUGCAGGCUUUUUGUAACAAAAAAGGUCGGCUCCCCUGAAAUGUAUUAGUGGUAUCUGAGGCUAUUACUAUUAGGUGUGAUAAUUAUCUAUGCCUUUUGGGUAUGCCGCAUGAACAGAUUAUGCUGCUUCUAACGAAAACUAUUUUGAUGAAUUUGACCUCAAAUCAGGUAGGACUACCCGCUGAACUUAAGCAUAUCAAUAAGCGGAGGA